RNAcentral lists this small RNA (1457 nucleotides) under Oryza sativa Japonica Group (Japanese rice). Its description in RNAcentral is "sRNA Os02g0641850". The record is from RNAcentral. Lineage: Eukaryota; Viridiplantae; Streptophyta; Magnoliopsida; Poales; Poaceae.
UUCAGUGGGUGAAAGGGAGGGGAAAGGAAGUGCGAAAAGAUUUGGGGGGAGACGUGGCUAGUCUAUGUAGGAGUACUCGCUAGCAGAGGCGCGGAGGACGAGGGUGGUUUUGUUUGUGGCCGAGGAGGAUCCCCCGCGGCGCAACCUUAAAUGCCGGAGAUUUUCACCUGCGCUGCUGCGGCAGCAACAACAACGAGACGGAACGGAAGCGGAGAGUGUGGGAGACGACGAAGAAAAGAAAAUAAAACCCGGCGCGUGCUUGCGUUGCGUUGCGCGACGCACGCAUUCAAUUGACGAGGGGGGCUUUUGCUUGCAAGUACAGCGCGCGCGCGCAACGGCGACGGUGACGCCCGGGUACUAGCGUCGUGCAGUCGUGCUGCUGCCACUACUCGAGUAGUCGAGUGGCCGGGAUACGCAAGCGGGGGAGAGAUAGAACUAUCACUGGUAUAUGUCCUUUCAUGGGGAGUACUUUGUACCAAAGCAAACUAGCCGAAGAGUAACUUCGGGCCAUCAGAUCAAGCAUUCAAGUGAGUAAUUCAGAUGAAGUAUUUAUUACUGUAUGAUAAGCACCACUAGUAGUACUAAUUGUUGGGUACCCAUCGCAAGUGUAUCAUAACUUUGUGGCCGUGACCUCAUGUCGCAUUUGGGCCUACUCCUACCGUCCUACGCAAGUGUACAUCUAGCAACCUCCUCGGCCGAUCCUAAAAUACAAGCAUUUCUAGCUAAAUUUAGAUUGAAAUGUUUAAAUUUUGGGUACAGUUAGUAACUCUUUUUAAGCUAUAUUGCUCUUAGCAAAAUUAACUCCAUCAUAAUAUUUAUGGGAAUGCUAGGUACAGGAAAUCCAUUCCUCGUGUUUGGGACGGGAUCUCUCACUUCCUCGCGCCGCUAUGACAAAGAACGACCUGAAGAUGGCUAGAUUCCACGACGAGAUUGUUGCACGGUGGUGGCUAGAUUUUGCAGCGGCUGUUUGUGGUGCGUUGGUGCAGUGCGGGUUCUUCACACACAGGGGCGGUGAUGGUAUGGACUGGACUGGUCGAGCUGAUGGCUGUGACGAAGCCUUAACAUUGAUAGAUAGGGGGCAAUUUGGUCUCCUAUAGCCACACAAUGCAAAAGGACGGGAUGGGUCUCGUUUAGAAGAAACAGAGGAGGAAGAUGUGAAGGAAAGAGGAAGAAUAUAGGAAAUGGAGGGGAAAUGGAAAAGGAAGGUAGAUUUGGCAUCGCCUGCGUUUUUCGCCAUCGUCUCACGGUGAGAGAAUCGCAGCCGGUAACCAUCUCCGCUCCUCUCCCUCCCCUCUAAGCUUCAUAUAUGAUACCCGACGGGUACCAAGUCUGGUACUAGUAGUUAUCUGCCUGGUAUCAUUAGGUAUCGGCUGGUAUCCAUAUGUAUCAAUUGAUGUACUAUAUCUGAUACUGAUAAGUAUCAGAGUCUAAUUCCUUAUUGGUAUCAUUUGGUUUAG